RNAcentral lists this ribosomal RNA (910 nucleotides) under Phyllosticta paxistimae. RNAcentral describes it as "LSU rRNA". It matches the Rfam family "Eukaryotic large subunit ribosomal RNA", at positions 38 to 964 of the family's 3401-position model. The record is from RNAcentral. Lineage: Eukaryota; Fungi; Ascomycota; Dothideomycetes; Botryosphaeriales; Phyllostictaceae.
GCAUAUCAAUAAGCGGAGGAAAAGAAACCAACAGGGAUUGCCUUAGUAACGGCGAGUGAAGCGGCAAUAGCUCAAAUUUGAAAGCUGGCGUCUUCGACGUCCGCGUUGUAAUUUGUAGAGGAUGCUUCGGCAAGGACUCCUGCCUAAGUCCCCUGGAACGGGGCGUCACAGAGGGUGAGAAUCCCGUAUGUGGCGGGCGGUCCAAGCCAUGUGAAGCUCCUUCGACGAGUCGAGUUGUUUGGGAAUGCAGCUCUAAAUGGGAGGUAAAUUUCUUCUAAAGCUAAAUAUUGGCCAGAGACCGAUAGCGCACAAGUAGAGUGAUCGAAAGAUGAAAAGCACUUUGGAAAGAGAGUUAAAAAGUACGUGAAAUUGUUGAAAGGGAAGCGCUUGCAACCAGACUCGCUCGCAGUUGCUCAGCCGGCCUCUUGGCCGGUGUACUCUUCUGCGAUCGGGCCAGCAUCAGUUCGGGCGGCCGGAUAAAGGUGUCGGGAAUGUAGCACCCUUCGGGGUGUGUUAUAGCCCGGCGCGGAAUGCGGCCAGCCUGGACUGAGGAUCUCGCUUCGGCAAGGAUGCUGGCGUAAUGGUUGUAAGCGGCCCGUCUUGAAACACGGACCAAGGAGUCUAACAUCUAUGCGAGUGUUUGGGUGUCAAACCCAUGCGCGUAAUGAAAGUGAACGGAGGUGGGAACCCUUCACGGGGUGCACCAUCGACCGAUCCUGAUGUCUUCGGAUGGAUUUGAGUAAGAGCAUAGCUGUUGGGACCCGAAAGAUGGUGAACUAUGCCUGAAUAGGGUGAAGCCAGAGGAAACUCUGGUGGAGGCUCGCAGCGGUUCUGACGUGCAAAUCGAUCGUCAAAUUUGGGUAUAGGGGCGAAAGACUAAUCGAACCAUCUAGUAGCUGGUUCCUGCCGA